UUUCACCCCCACCACAGACACCAAGACACCCAGUGGAUGGUACAGUAUGUUUGUGCAAUGAACAUGUUGCAAAUUCACAGAUUAACACUUCCUCACACUGAUUUUUGUCUGAUUUUGUCUCUUGAUUCUAGCUGAGGUUGUAAGACUGUUUGCCCCCUAUGCUGGUGGGAGAGGACCAGCAAGGAGAUCUAUCAUUGUGUCCCAACAGCUGCACUCAAACACGCACAGGUUUUGUUGUCUGGAGGACAAACAUAUGGAGUUAGUCCCUAAACGGUCUGUGAAGCAAAUGCUUGAAGCAGCAAGGUUGGGGGGGAAAAGCGUCUCACCUUUCAAGGAAGUCAUACAAGUCCAGAAGAGUUUAAAGACUUCAUAUUAUCCUCAUUCCCAAAACUCAGAGACGGUGGUGGAUUUGAGCUCCUUAAGAUAGCUGGCAGUACUCGGAGUCGGCAGCUGAUGGUGAUCCAUGUCCAAACAGUGGCUACACUGUUCAAUAUUUAAACAAUCCCCAAAGUCAGAUCGGGAACGCUACCAUUUUCAUCAGGCCACUCCAGAGGAACCUUAUUCCACUCCUUUAUCUCAAACAGAGAGCAACAUUGAACCACCGGAGAAAUGUGUGCAGUGAGGGGAGGAGUUCCCUUUUUCUACAAUAAAAAAUCACAACGAUGAAUGCACAAGGUAUUGCACAACAAAGACUGUUGCAGAGCAGUGAUGAGGUACGAAUGGCGGUAACCGAAGAAGAUUCCCACCAACAGGACGUCAGACAGCAAGGCCCAUCAACACUAGAGAUACCUCAGGGACCUGCUGCUACUCCAGAGAUUGUUGAUCUAGUUUCCAUUGAAGAGAGAGGCUCUGCUGGUCUGGUCCAUUGAAAUUACACAUUUCAUGCUUUAUUUCAGUAGUUUGUUGCUCCCUACAGUGCGUGGAAGUAAUUAGUAAUUUUCUAUAUUCUAAACUGCUUAUAGGUUGGAAAAUUGAGGCAGCAAAGAGAUUCAAAGAAGGGCUGUUGGGUCAGCAUGAAACUGAAAUACUUCAAGUAUCGUCUUGGAUCUUGGAGACAAUGCAGAGGAAAGGGAAAAUAUGAAUGAAUAGUUUAUUUCAAACAACAAUAUAUAUUUAUAGAAAUGGUUUAAGAGCAAUGGCACCACCUGCUCUGUCUGUGUGUCCAAGCGUUGUGUUGUGUGACACUGAGCUCUGAUAAAAUAAAGCUUUAGGUACUGUAUCUCUAUUAUCUUUAAGGGCAUUGACAGAACAUGUUGCCUCAGUAAUCCCAUAUUAAUUUCACACAUAAAAUCUUGAUGAAUCACAUUUCAGGUCAACACAAUCCCGGUUCACAUAUUUAAUAUA
Girardinichthys multiradiatus is the source of this 1344-nucleotide long non-coding RNA. RefSeq lists it as uncharacterized. The transcript has 4 exons. NCBI's taxonomy places the organism in Eukaryota, Metazoa, Chordata, Actinopteri, Cyprinodontiformes, Goodeidae. The record is from RefSeq and is a predicted model, not a curated record.